AGAACGAACGCUGGCGGCGUGCUUAACACAUGCAAGUCGCGUGCGCAGUCUGUAGCAAUACAGGCCGGCGCACGGCGCACGGGUGCGUAACACGUGGGCAAUCUGCCCUCUGAUGGGGAAUAACCCCGCGAAAGCGGGGCUAAUUCCGCAUAAAAUUCCGAGAACCUCGGUUUUUGGAUUCAAAGCAGUAAUGCGUCAGAGGAGGAGCCCGCGCCCGAUUAGCUAGUUGGUGAGGUAACGGCUCACCAAGGCAAUGAUCGGUAGCUGGUCUGAGAGGAUGAUCAGCCACACUGGAACUGAGACACGGUCCAGACUCCUACGGGAGGCAGCAGUGGGGAAUCUUGCACAAUGGGCGAAAGCCUGAUGCAGCGACGCCGCGUGGGGGAUGAAGCUUUUCGGAGUGUAAACCCCUUUCGACUGGGACGAAAACCCGCAAGGGAUUGACGGUACCAGUAUAAGAAGCCCCGGCUAACUACGUGCCAGCAGCCGCGGUAAGACGUAGGGGGCCAGCGUUGUUCGGAAUUACUGGGUGUAAAGGGUUCGUAGGCGGUGUGGCAAGUCGGGAGUGAAAUCUCUGGGCUCAACCCAGAGACUGCUUCCGAAACUGCUGUGCUUGAGUGUGAGAGAGGCUCGUGGAAUUGCAGGUGUAGCGGUGAAAUGCGUAGAUAUCUGCAGGAACACCCGUGGCGAAAGCGGCGAGCUGGAUCACUACUGACGCUGAGGAACGAAAGCUAGGGGAGCAAACAGGAUUAGAUACCCUGGUAGUCCACGCCGUAAACGUUGGGCACUAGGUGUGGGACCUUAUCAACGGGUUCCGUGCCGCAGCUAACGCAUUAAGUGCCCCGCCUGGGGAGUACGGUCGCAAGGCUAAA
This 872-nucleotide ribosomal RNA is filed under the name uncultured bacterium. RNAcentral describes it as "bacterial SSU rRNA". It matches the Rfam family "Bacterial small subunit ribosomal RNA", at positions 26 to 898 of the family's 1533-position model. The record is from RNAcentral.